RNAcentral lists this ribosomal RNA (1478 nucleotides) under metagenome. RNAcentral describes it as "bacterial SSU rRNA". It matches the Rfam family "Bacterial small subunit ribosomal RNA". The record is from RNAcentral.
AGAGUUUGAUCCUGGCUCAGGAUGAACGCUAGCGGCAGGCCUAAUAUAUGCAAGUCGAACGGUAAAUAUUUAGUAAUAAAUAUGAGGGUGACGUACGGGUGCGUAACACGUAUGCAAUUUACCCUUUACAGGCGGAUAGCUCGGGGAAACUCGAAUUAAUCCGCCGUAAUAUAAUUGGAUGGUAUCAUCUGGUUAUUAAAUUUACGGAGGUAAAGGAUGGGCAUGCGUCUGAUUAGUUAGUUGGCGGGGUAACGGCCCACCAAGACGAUGAUCAGUAGGGGAACUGAGAGGUUGAUUCCCCAUACUGGCACUGAGAUACGGGCCAGACUCCUACGGGAGGCAGCAGUAGGGAAUAUUGGUCAAUGGAUGGAAGUUUGAACCAGCCAUGCCGCGUGCAGGAAGAAGGCCUUUUGGGUUGUAAACUGCUUUUGCCAGGGGAUAAAAUGACCUUGCGAGGUUAAUUGAAGGUACCUGGUGAAUAAGCCACGGCUAACUACGUGCCAGUAGCCGUGGUAAUAUGUAGGUGGCAAGCGUUGUCCGGAUUUAUUGGGUUUAAAGGGUGCGUAGGCGGCUUAUUAAGUCAGUGGUGAAAUACUCUAGUUUAAUUAGAGGGGUGCCAUUGAUACUGAUGAGCUUGAGUACAGAUGAGGUAGGCGGAAUUGACGGUGUAGUGGUGAGAUGUUUAGAUAUCGUCAAGAAUACUUAUAGUGAAGGUAGCUUACUAGGCUGUAACUGACGCUGAGGCACGAAAGUGUGGGGAUCAAACAGGAUUAGAUACCCUGGUAGUCCACACUGUAAACGUUGAUUACUCGCUGUGUGCGAUAUAUAGUACGCGGCCAAGCGAAAGCGAUAAGUAAUCCACCUGGGGAGUACGCCGGUAACGGUGAAACUCAAAGGAAUUGACGGGGGUCCGCACAAGCGGUGGAGCAUGAGGUUUAAUUCGAUGAUAUGUGAGGAACCUUACCUGGACUAGAAUGCCCUUGACCGAUCCAGAGAUGGAUUUUUCCGUAAGGACAAGGAGCAAGGUGCUGUAUGGCCGUCGUCAGCUCGUGCCGUGAGGUGUUGGGUUAAGUCCCGCAACGAGCGCAACCCCUAUUUUUAGUUGCCAACAGGUUAAGUUGGGGACUUUAAAAAGACUGCCCGCGUAAGCGGAGAGGAAGGAGGGGACGACGUCAGGUCAUCAUGGCCCUUACGUCCAGGGCUACACACGUGCUACAAUGGCGUAAACAGAGUGUUGCAAACCAGUGAUGGUAAGCUAAUCACAAAAAAUACGUCUCAGUUCGGAUUGCAGGCUGUAACUUGCCUGCAUGAAGUUGGAAUCGCUAGUAAUCGCGCAUCAGUAAUGGCGCGGUGAAUACGUUCCCGGACCUUGUAUAUAUCGCCCGUCAAGCCAUGAGAGUCGGGAGGACCUGAAGGCAGUUGCUGUAAGGCGCUGUUUAGGGUUAAACCGAUGAUUAGGGCUAAGUCGUAACAAGGUA